Molecule: ribosomal RNA, 459 nt
Filed under: uncultured bacterium
Lineage: Bacteria
Description: partial 16S ribosomal RNA
Rfam family: Bacterial small subunit ribosomal RNA
Source: RNAcentral
CCUACGGGAGGCAGCAGUGAGGAAUAUUGGUCAAUGGCCGGAAGGCUGAACCAGCCAAGUCGCGUGAGGGACGACUGCCCUAUGGGUUGUAAACCUCUUCUAUAAGGGAAGAAUAAAUGCUACGUGUAGCAUGAUGCCUGUACCUUAUGAAUAAGCAUCGGCUAACUCCGUGCCAGCAGCCGCGGUAAUACGGAGGAUGCGAGCGUUAUCCGGUUUUAUUGGGUUUAAAGGGUGCGUAGGCGGUUUUUUAAGUUAGUGGUUAAACGUCGGGGCUUCACCUUGAUUUGCCAUUAAUACUGUAAGACUCGAGUUCAGACGAGGUAGGCGGAAUAAGUUAAGUAGCGGUGAAAUGCUUAGAUAUAACUUAGAACUCCGAUAGCGAAGGCAGCUUACCGGACUGCGACUGACGCUGAAGCACGAGAGCGUGGGUAGCGAACAGGAUUAGAUACCCUUGUAGUC